GAUGAACGCUGACAGAAUGCUUAACACAUCAGCAAUUGAUUGGUGGCGGACGGGUGAGUAACGCGUAAAGAACUUGCCUCACAGCUAGGGACAACAUGUGGAAACGAAUGCUAAUACCUAAUACUGUGAGAGAGCUUUGCGUCCCAUUAGCUAGUUGGAGAGGUAACGGGUCACCAAGGCGAUGAUGGGUAGCCGGCCUGGAAGGGUGAUCGGCCACAAAGGGACAGAGACACGGCCAUUGCUCCUACGAGAGGCAGCAGUAGGGAAUAGUGGACAAUGGGCCAGAGUCUGAUCCAGCCAUUCUGUGUGCACGAUGAAGUUUUCGGAAUGUAGAGUGCUUUGAGUUGGGAAGCGGUACCAACAGAAGAAGUAACGGCUGAAUACGUGCCAGCAGCCGCGGUAAUUC
RNAcentral lists this ribosomal RNA (406 nucleotides) under uncultured bacterium. RNAcentral's name for it is "partial 16S ribosomal RNA". It matches the Rfam family "Bacterial small subunit ribosomal RNA", at positions 28 to 526 of the family's 1533-position model. The record is from RNAcentral.